UAGGGAAUCUUCCACAAUGGACGAAAGUCUGAUGGAGCAACGCCGCGUGAGUGAAGAAGGUUUUCGGAUCGUAAAGCUCUGUUGUUGGUGAAGAAGGAUAGGGGCAGUAACUGGUCUUUAUUUGACGGUAAUCAACCAGAAAGUCACGGCUAACUACGUGC
This 161-nucleotide ribosomal RNA is filed under the name uncultured bacterium. RNAcentral's name for it is "partial 16S rRNA". It matches the Rfam family "Bacterial small subunit ribosomal RNA", at positions 355 to 508 of the family's 1533-position model. The record is from RNAcentral.